UACGUAGGUGACGAGCGUUAUCCGGAAUUAUUGGGCGUAAAGCGCACGCAAGCGGUCGGCCAAGUCUGGCGUGAAAUCUCCUGGCUUAGCUGGGAGCGGUCGUUGGAAACUGGUCGGCUUGAGGAAAUGAGAGGGGUGCGGAAUUCUCGGUGUAGUGGUGGAAUGCGUAGAUAUCGAGAGGAACAUCAGUGGCGAAAGCGGCACCCUGGCAUUUAUCUGACGCCCAUGUGCGAAAGCGUGGGGAGCGAACGGG
Molecule: ribosomal RNA, 253 nt
Filed under: uncultured bacterium
Lineage: Bacteria
Description: partial 16S ribosomal RNA
Rfam family: Bacterial small subunit ribosomal RNA
Source: RNAcentral